This is a non-coding RNA of Gasterosteus aculeatus aculeatus (three-spined stickleback), 1310 nucleotides long. The record is from RefSeq and is a predicted model, not a curated record. Lineage: Eukaryota; Metazoa; Chordata; Actinopteri; Perciformes; Gasterosteidae.
UUAAUAGCACACCGUCGGACAUAGAAUGACGAACUGUCUCUUUUUCUUCCAUAACUGUCUCUUUAACACUCUUCCCCCUAUGGCUGGACGACACGUGCCACAGCGCACGACCUCCUUAUGUCUCCAUGAGCGGCAGCACAACAGCACAGUGAACAGAGGCUGAAGUCAUGACAGUAAUGACCAAAGAGCUGUCCGAGCUAUGGGAAAUGCUGUAGUCACUGCCGUGGCUGAAGGGGAAGAACGAGUGGAAACCAUUUCUCCGGGAUUUCGGCUGGUAUUGUCAUCUUGACUUUUUCCAGCAGUCCGCAGCUGGACGGCUGUAAAUACGACGUGCGCUAUUUCAAUGACCGUCGCAUCGCCGCAAAGACACGGGCUCCACAGUAACAACUUCGGUCAAGUUGGAUGAACCGCUCGCCGUCCCAUCCUCGCCUCUGCGUGGAUUCCUCUCUCGCCUCCUCGGGCACGCAUGCGCACACGCACGCUCAGUCAUUUGUUCCCUAUUCUCUCUCUCCUGCCGCAGAAACACUGAUGUCAUUUAUUUUUCUGCAACGUCACAUUCGGAUUCGUCGCGGUUCGCCAGCAUGAGUUCUGCGAUUGUAAAACACGAAGGUUGUAGACGUGUUUGGGUAAUAGGGUAAUAGGGUAAUGUAGACAACUUUCGUGUCGAUGACGUACACACGUAAAUUAAAAGUGUUUUUUAUUUUUUUAUUUUUUUAGCAAUUCUGCUGCACAGCAGGCUCAUCAAUUCACCGACGCACCAAUGUGCAAAGUCUGCACCGUCAGCGUUCAAGUCUCAUCCACAACAUAAACACCGCCCGCUGCGAGCGUUACGUCACCACACGAGUUUGGGUAAUGACGUCAGCUAACCGUCUCUGCAAGGACUUCGCAGAUGAGCGAGUCGCCGGCAUUCCGGACAUUAAAGUACGAGCACAUUGCAGAGCUGCCGUGGCGUUGGGAGCCCAAGUGGCUGGUGCAGUUUGCACAGUUUCCUGCACGUCAUGAAGGAGAAGGUGCACUGCAGUGGACGCGGGCAGGCAGGUGCCUGUGCAUGUGCUGCAAGGCGAGCCUCGUGCAGAUACAUCGCAGAUACUUUUAAAUACAUUACCCGUUUUUUUGUUUAUGUAGGAUUCAAAUAUUUUGAAGAACACACAAACGAAUGAUAUAUUUCUGUAACAGAAACGAUAUGCACAUUUUCCUAUUUCUUUACAUUUUCAUGAAUAUGCUUUCAUUCCUAGUUGAAAAUACAUUCACAGUUGCCUGUAACGAUGCAAUUCAAUUGUGCGUCCCUAUAAUAAAAACUACCAUCAGUA